UAAAAAGAAGCGAUAUAUCGCAGUCAGUUUCGGCCUGACUUUAGGAGAACCCUUUUUAA
This 59-nucleotide transfer RNA is filed under the name Argas lagenoplastis. RNAcentral describes it as "tRNA-Arg". The record is from RNAcentral. Lineage: Eukaryota; Metazoa; Arthropoda; Arachnida; Ixodida; Argasidae.